Molecule: long non-coding RNA, 1452 nt
Organism: Syngnathus typhle (broad-nosed pipefish)
Lineage: Eukaryota; Metazoa; Chordata; Actinopteri; Syngnathiformes; Syngnathidae
Exons: 3
Source: RefSeq, a predicted model, not a curated record
AACAAGCAUGAACGCAUACGCAUGUUGCACAGCAGCAACACAACAGGUGGGCACACAAACAAGGUUGGCAUGGUCAGUCGCUACUCUGUUAAGGAAUCCUGAAUGCACAACAGUCAAUUUGGGAGUGUGUCUGUGCAUGUGCUCUGGAUUUCACAAUCAUUACAAUGACUAGUACAGUGCACAGUACAGAGACCUCAACAUAGAAGAACCAUCACUUCAACAUUCAGCAGCUACAUCACAAGAAUCAGUCGAACGAGGCACCAUUGAAAGCUUAAUUAUUCAAGAAACCUCUACGGGAGCCACAUUUUGGAAGAUGUGACUUAUCACUAAGGUAUCACUUCCACCUGUGUUUGAUAUUAUGCGCCUCUUCAGCAGCCGGUUAUAAAUGGUGAACUUUGGAACAGGGGUCCCUAAAGGUUAGCUUGUUAGCUACAAACCAUCUCUGACAAGCUGCAAUUGAAUUCGGAGUAAUGGCAAAAGGUUUCUUGGUAGUUUCUCAUCUAAGCAAAUUUGAAGUCAAAACAUCGCCUCGUCCAUCUCCAAUUUACGCUAGUGCAUUAGUGAAGUCAUAAUUUCAGCAAACACGUGAAAAAAAUGUUAGGCCAUACAUAAAUAAAUGUAUGUAAAAACAUUACCUGAAAAAGGCAAAGUGCUGUUACAUGAUGGACUUACUAAAUUAAUGAUUACCAUCUGAUAUCCCCAACCGAAAUGUUUUUCAUCUUCAUUCAGACGCAGUCAAAUUAUUUGAUUUCGAUUAAAUAGUGGAAGAAGAGGAAAUGGAAGAUACUGACGGUAUGGGAAUAAAGAAAUUACAUGGAAUUCCCCUUCAACCAAGUAUCUUAAAAAUUGUAUUCCCGGAUGUCUGGGUUUCUGUGUCAAACUCUGAAAUCUAAUGAAUCCUGUGCAAUAAAAAUCCCCACACUACUUUAUCUAAUCUUUAAUUUGACGCGUGACUUCAGUGACACCGCUGUUUUACAAUCAAACUCUAAUUUCCCCCGAAGCCAAAUCUGAACAGUCUCAUGAUACGGACGUACCAAUGAUUAAUUGUGAGCAAUUACCAUCUCUAUGGGGGGCCUCGUGUUCAGUCGGCACCCAUUCAAAGACAGCCAGCCUGUAAAUACUGUAGAGGGAUGUUCUCUUUGUGCUACCUGUCAUUUUUUCCUCAGAAUUCUUCAUUCAAAAUGACAGUGAGACCAGGAUGCAUCAAACAUCUCAAUUCGGCCCUUAUAAUAUUUUUGUUCUUCCCCUUAAGUCAUGCACACUAGUAGAAUCUUUUGGGAAUUGAACUAAAUCUACUGGCUUCACAUUAAAAUUGAAUCUUUCUAAAAAUUGUGGCUCUUGUGACUUAUUGGCUGGUUCACUCAGAGGGCUGCUGAAUUAAGCUUCUAAAAAAAUCACUUGCUGGUCCAAAAUGGCCCAAGUAGUGAAUAUAUCGAGAUCAUAUUUCUCCAA